RNAcentral lists this ribosomal RNA (301 nucleotides) under uncultured bacterium. RNAcentral describes it as "partial 16S ribosomal RNA". It matches the Rfam family "Bacterial small subunit ribosomal RNA", at positions 509 to 809 of the family's 1533-position model. The record is from RNAcentral.
CAGUCGCCACGGUAAUACGUAGGUGGCAAGCGUUGUCCGGAAUUAUUGGGUGUAAAGGGCUCGCAGGCGGUUUCUUAAGUCUGAUGUGAAAGCCCCCGGCUCAACCGGGGAGGGUCAUUGGAAACUGGGAAACUUGAGUGCAGAAGAGGAGAGUGGAAUUCCACGUGUAGCGGUGAAAUGCGUAGAGAUGUGGAGGAACACCAGUGGCGAAGGCGACUCUCUGGUCUGUAACUGACGCUGAGGAGCGAAAGCGUGGGGAGCGAACAGGAUUAGAUACCCCUGUAGUCCCUGUCUCUUAUAA